This 466-nucleotide ribosomal RNA is filed under the name uncultured bacterium. RNAcentral's name for it is "bacterial SSU rRNA". It matches the Rfam family "Bacterial small subunit ribosomal RNA", at positions 28 to 494 of the family's 1533-position model. The record is from RNAcentral.
GAUGAACGCUGGCGGCGUGCCUAACACAUGCAAGUCGAGCGAAGCGCCUUACUUGAUUUCUUCGGGAUGAAAGUAUUGUGACUGAGCGGCGGACGGGUGAGUAACGCGUGGAUAACCUGCCUCAUACAGGGGGAUAACAGUUAGAAAUGACUGCUAAUACCGCAUAAGACCACAGCACCGCAUGGUGCAGGGGGAAAAACUCCGGUGGUAUGAGAUGGAUCCGCGUCUGAUUAGCUAGUUGGUAAGGUAACGGCUUACCAAGGCAACGAUCAGUAGCCGACCUGAGAGGGUGACCGGCCACAUUGGGACUGAGACACGGCCCAAACUCCUACGGGAGGCAGCAGUGGGGAAUAUUGCACAAUGGGGGAAACCCUGAUGCAGCGACGCCGCGUGAGCGAUGAAGUAUUUCGGUAUGUAAAGCUCUAUCAGCAGGGAAGAUAAUGACGGUACCKACWAKAGCCCGYCU